This 299-nucleotide small nuclear RNA is filed under the name Oryctolagus cuniculus (rabbit). Its description in RNAcentral is "7SK RNA". It matches the Rfam family "7SK RNA". From Rfam's summary of the family: 7SK was discovered as an abundant small nuclear RNA in the mid-70s but a possible function has only recently been suggested. Lineage: Eukaryota; Metazoa; Chordata; Mammalia; Lagomorpha; Leporidae. The record is from Rfam by way of RNAcentral.
GGAUGUGAGGACAAUCUGGCUGCGACAUCUGUCACCCCGUUGAUUGCCAGGGUUGAUUCAGCUGAUCUGGCUGGCUAGGCAGAUAUUCACUUCCUCCCUCACCACUCCACGUGCGUCCCUCCUGGAGCUGCUCACUCAGUCAAAGGGGAAGACCUUCCCCGCUAGAGGAGGACCAGUCUUAGGUCAAGGGUGUAUGAGUAGCUGCAUUCCACUGCUAGAACCUCCAAACAAGCUCUCAAAAGACAGAGUGGAUCAGAGAAUAAGACCCAACUACAUGUUGUCCACAAGAAGAUCACUUU